UACGGAGGGGGCGAGCGUUAUUCGGAAUUAUUGGGCGUAAAGGGCGCGUAGGCGGCCCGGUAAGUCAAAGGUGAAAUCCCUCGGCUCAACUGAGGAACUGCCUUUGAAACUGUCGGGCUUGAGGCCGGGAGGGGGUAGCGGAAUUCCCAGUGUAGCGGUGAAAUGCGUAGAUAUUGGGAGGAACACCAGUGGCGAAGGCGGCUACCUGGACCGGUUCUGACACUGAGGAGCGAAAGCGUGGGGAGCGAUCCGG
RNAcentral lists this ribosomal RNA (253 nucleotides) under uncultured bacterium. Its description in RNAcentral is "partial 16S ribosomal RNA". It matches the Rfam family "Bacterial small subunit ribosomal RNA", at positions 524 to 776 of the family's 1533-position model. The record is from RNAcentral.